Long non-coding RNA from Octopus bimaculoides (California two-spot octopus), 3287 nucleotides. NCBI's taxonomy places the organism in Eukaryota, Metazoa, Mollusca, Cephalopoda, Octopoda, Octopodidae. The record is from RefSeq and is a predicted model, not a curated record.
UCACUGACAAGUAUUCAGCUGUUUACAGUUACUCCUAAGCGGUGUAAAGCGUAUUUAAUCUCCAUUACUUCUGACAUUUUGCAGAGGCAACACACGUGUGUUCGUUUUCCCUAACCCUAACCCUAACCCUAAUUGACUUGCUCCUUCACUCAAAAACCAUGCCUUGUGCCUAUAAUAGAAAGGUUUAUUAGCUACUGCCAAUAUGCUUCAGCCAUUUUUUGACAAGGAAAUAAUAAUUUUAUCACCGCCGCGAAUCGUUUGUUUACAUAGUCAGCACUUAAUUUUUACGGCUGAAUGGACGUCAGUCAUUGGUUGAAAUUACAGAAAUACGACAACCUUAACAUGAAAUAACUUGCGAUGUACGUUUUUUUGUUAAGAAGACUAAGAGAAAAAGAUGUUUUAUAUGACACAUUCUACCAGUGUCCCAAGUUUCAAAGUGUUUCGUUAAGAAAAUACUGGUGCCCCCGUUUUGAACAAGAUCCGAAUCUACUGCUACUACUCCUACUGCUGUAUGCUUGUUUUGGUGUUACUAAUACUACGAAAACAACAAAUACACCGACAUUUACAAAAAGUUAUUCACCUGUGAAGGUAUUUUAGCCACGAACGUAUUUAUAAGUAAGUAUUUUCAUUUGGAGACUUCUACUAUCACCAACUUAACAAGUUAAUCAGCAGUGAUGCAAUGAUGGAGCUAUGUGUCAUUGUUAGAAACCAAUUCCUUUCUAACAAGAAGAAUUUAGAUAAAGACGGAAGAGAACAUAUAUGAACGCAUAUAUACAUAUUUACAUGCAUGCAUGCAUACAUGCAUACAUACAUACAAAAGUAGAUAUAGAGUAACGAAAGAACAGUUGUCCGAUACUUCAAGUUACCGAUGUCUGAAGGUGAAACACGCUGAAAUAUUCAACAGUACGUUUUGGAUUUCUUUGAAAAGAUCUUGUGCGUUUGAAUAGACAAAUCACAAGGUAGAAAGAUAUACCAAGAAACAAGCGAGUAAGAAGUUAAAAACAAAACAACAAUCACAACAACCUCACCAACAACAAAAUAACUGCAGUUCAGUAUUUAUCAGAGAAAGUUGAUAAUCUUAAGCGAUUGUUAGAAAUUAUACAUAAGAUGGAUGCGGAGAAUAAUAAAAUGCCAUUCGAUGGUUGGUGGCUACCACCAAACGUAACCACCAAAGUGAAUGUAGAAACAAUAGAAUUCUCUUGUGCCAUUGGAGGAUUUUUAUUGCUAAGCAUUUUGGUACUUUUUUGUAAAUGUUACAUGUUCCAUCGUCGCAAGAAACAAUCAUCUUCGCCACCACCUGAACCUAGUCACGAUACCAACUCAGUUCCUAUAGUAGUACCAUCAAUCAGUAUUGCCAUUAUAUCGAAACCGACUUUGGAGACAGUAGAAAAUGGUGAAGAGUACUACUUGGCAGCAGCUUGAAAAAACAAUGCUUUAUUCAAAGAGGAAAACAGAACAAAAGACGAAGCAAAUUCAAACGAUAGCACUGCGGGUCCUUGUCAAUCAGCAAUGAACAGCUGCCGAAUUUACUUUUGCUGGCCAUGGUGCCACAAUUCAAAAUGAAAUGAGAGAAUACGAAAUGACACUGCAAAAGCCAAAUCUUUUAAACUUUAUAUAUGUUAUGAAAAGACUAACAUUACGGGUUUACAAUAUUCUUAAUUUUAGUUCUAACGUUAACCCAUGUUCAUAAAGACCUCAUUGUGGAAGGCAUUCACCUAGCGGUCAAUACCAAAGAGAAGGCUGACUUCAACGGGUGAUCGACUGUUGCAUAUCAAAUAUAACACUCAAAGCUAAUCGAAUAUACCUCAAAUACCAAAACUGCUCAAAAUAUUUGAGGUCCAGUACUUGGACAGCUCCGCGUUGUUUAUUCCAGGCCUGCGGAGGAACCUGACUUUAGUAUAUUUGGGUAUCUGGAAACACUCGUUGAAUAUACAAUGUACCACUGCUUACAACGGUGAGUAGUACAUGAUUCAUGUUAAUUGUAAAUACAGCUUUGUAAAUUGCACUAUUGUGAAUUUUAAUUAGCGAAUCUACAAGGGUGUCAAGCAACUAAGUGAAACUGGUAAAUUGUCGGUAUUUUCUCACCGACAUCAUAGUAUGUCAAUGGUUUUCUGAAGAUACCGCAAUGUAAAAUGGUUUAGUGCAGCAAGCACUACAGAACUGUAAAAGUCGAUGAGUAUCUAAUUAACUUGUGCUGUAUUCAAAGCCUCUCACGAGGGUUAAGGUUUCACUGGUUCCAACUCGAAAUCAGUUAGAUUUCAUCAAGAACAUUCAUUUAACUUAAUCGUUCAUCUGACAAAUGAUGCGUUAAAUCACCUGAUUACUCUAUAUUGUAAUAUAUUCAAUUUACCAAAUAAGCAUUAAAAUUCUUAAUAUUAAAUAAAUUCAUGUCAUAUAAUAAAAAACGGAUUCUAACAUUACAGGUGGAGCCUUCCUUUGGAAAAGUGUUAAAUAGUUAUACAUUUAGAUGCACGGUACGUGCUUCAUUUCCUAAACCCACCCCACGAGAAAGAACCCUGUCUGUGAUGUAACAAUAUAAUUUUAUACACGUUCCACACAUUUUCUUUUAUUUCUCAGGAGAAGGCCACUUCCAAAAAUGUUACAAUUCUCUUCUCUUGAUUGUAUGCAGAACUCAUUAAAUGACUUAAUAUAAAUAUUACGAAUUUGAUUGACCGUUUUGCUGACAUCAACCCUGAAUACUUUCUUUGCAUUAUAGUUUUAUACAUACAUAUAUAUAUAUAUAUAUAUAUAUAUAUAUAUUUACAAGAAAAUUAUAUAACUCAGAUACUGUCCAGUUUCUAUAUUGUCUUAUUAUUUUACUUGUCUGAGUAUCGAUGCUGAUGUUUCACAAAAUAUUGAAGGUAGAAUAUCCAAAUAUUUUACCGAUAAUUACUAAGCGACAUAUCAAAAACAUAAAAACCAAAAGGAACUUGUUAUUUUCGAAACUUGUAAUUUUGUUAUAUUAUUUUAAUGUUUACUGAGCGAGCUACGAAUUAUAUGAUAAUAACAUCGUGUACAGAGAAAACAAAACGUAAUGGAAGUAUAUUUACGUAUAUCGACAUCAUAGAUUCUGGUAUGAGUAGCUUUGAGUUAAUAGUGCAAAAUACACACUUGCAAAGAAAAAAAUUGUCUUGACUUUUUGGUUGAGUCAAAAAUUUCUUUUAGCAUAAAACUGGAUUGGAAGGAUGGUGCACAGUGAAAUUAUCCCUUCGUAUUAUAUUUUGUUGUACUUACAAUAUUUUAACUUUGUGGUAAAAUAAAUGGUUUUAAUACAAGGAUAUUAAAAA